RNAcentral lists this unclassified non-coding RNA (869 nucleotides) under Hevea brasiliensis (rubber tree). The record is from RNAcentral. Lineage: Eukaryota; Viridiplantae; Streptophyta; Magnoliopsida; Malpighiales; Euphorbiaceae.
GCUGUGCUGCCCUCUGGGGCUUCUGUCUCUGAAGGUUCCUGAAAAGAUGGGUCUGCCACAUCCCACAUUUCAUCAGAAGGGCCCUUUACUCCAGAACCAACAGAUGAUCGCCUUGAGUCCUUUUCUUUCAACAGUAAUUCUUCUGAAAAUUUUGAACUGAACUCUUUCUUUUGUCCUUCUCACCUUCAUACAUUAAAUUUUGGUUGGAAACUUUCUGCUUUGUGAUUUCAGAGGUCAACACUUCAUGCCUUGCUCUCUGCACGAAUUCCCCAACAAACUGCAUGGAUGACUCCUCUUGACGAUGAGCUGCACCCAAAGCAUCUUCUGGGGCUAAAAGUUUUGAAGGCUCCCCAUAAAUCUCACCCUUCCUAUCUCUGUCAUAUAGCUCCUGCUGUGAAGUUGGAGUUCUCUCUCCUGAAUUGUUAUUAAAAGCACUCAAGCUGCUUUCAGAAGUUUCUGUGGCUUCUUGGGUUGCUAUUCCACUAGUUGGAUCAACACACAAUGAACCUCGAGCUACCACCUGAGGAGAAGGGGGCAUCAUUAUUGCCUGAGAACUUCUGUAGUCCCCCUCCACAUCAAUCUGUUGCAUUCUUGCUUGGGAAACCAUAUUACGGAAUGCUUGAGAACUAGAGGCCUCUUGUGAAGUUUUUUCUUGAAAACUUGAUAUUUCAGAGGUCAUGUGGGCUUUGUUUCUUGAUUUGAUUUGACUGAUUCUUUCAUCGGUUUGAUCAUCUCUUUCUCUGGUUUGCUGAGUGGGUUUCAAAACUGAUGUAAAUUCACUUCCUUGAUCAAUUAUUCUGUUUUUUGAAGUUAUCUGAGAAUCAUUAACUCUUUCUAUAUCACUAGCAUGAACUAAUGAUACAUUAGUG